Long non-coding RNA from Bolinopsis microptera, 419 nucleotides. RefSeq lists it as uncharacterized. The record is from RefSeq and is a predicted model, not a curated record. NCBI's taxonomy places the organism in Eukaryota, Metazoa, Ctenophora, Tentaculata, Lobata, Bolinopsidae. The transcript has 3 exons.
UGUUGACAUGAUAAUAGAGCGCUUCAUGCAACGACGGAACUGUUUCAAGUUCCAUGUCACUUUGGACGGGGUAUUUCAGAAACAUAUAAACGGUGAAGAGCAGACAUUUGGUUUCAAGACACGAGCAACUGUGUGUCUGAGAUCAUCAAACAAGGAUGAGAUGAUCAAUGAAGUUCGAAACAAAAUCUUGGAUUCAUACGAGUCUUUUCAAGGAAUGGGUAGCGGUUGGAUAUGGAGACGAUGGCAAAUGGUUACAGUGCUUGUCAUAAAGUACAACCCUGUAUCAGGAUGAUUGAUUGAGUGAUUGAUUAGGGUCUAUAUAUAGGGAUCACUAUAAUGUUGAAAAUUGUUGUUUUAUAUCUUACUAAUUUCAAUUAACUUUAAGAACUUUCAGUAGUUUAAAACCACAAAUCAAUAAC